GGCCCGGCCGGGCGAGGGGCGGCGGCGGGCCCGGCAGUGCAGCCUGCGGUCCCUGCGGCCGGGGCGCGGCACGGGCCGUGUGCCGCCCGACCGUGAGCGGGGGACUUCGCCAGCCGCUGACAGCAGCGUUUUGUACAAGCCCAUCACAAAUUUAUUAGAGAAUGGUAGGGCUGGUUCGAAUUAAGGUGCGGACCUCUCAAACAGAACGGUACUGUGUUGUCCGAAGAAACAAAUUGUCCUCUGAAUGUUGAAGAUCGUAUAUAGGCAUAACCUUGUGUUUCCUUUGCAGGUUGAUUUACCGAUGGCUGGCAAAGGGUAGUGCUGCUCACCAAAACCGGGUGAAAUCCUGGCCCCGCGGAAGCUGGUAGGAGAACUUGAAUGGAAACCUCUUCCACCAAUUACAAUUGUAAACCAUGACAGAAAAGCACGCUUCUAAUAACGAAGGUGGCUCUGAGAGCUCCGGAAGAGUUUGCUGCAAGGUGUGGAACUGCUGCUGAGCUCAAAACCAGGCCCUGGUAUUUCUGGGAGCACACUGAUGUACCUGCACUCAUGAAAUUAACCUUUCAGAUACACGAGGUAUCACAGGUUGAACUAAAUAAUUGAAAAAGGAAGCCAAGAUUGUAUUAGUUUUAUGAAUUUAAUUAUUUUUUCUAUUCCUUCCAAGGAAAAAGGCUUUCUUUUUCUGCAGCUUUUAGUUCAUCAGCCUAAUGUGGGGUACAUGUGCCUCAUAUGCUACUCUACAGAACUCUAGGUAUUUGUAGUUGGUUUGAAUGGAGUUCAUAAUGUUUUUGCUCUGAGCUGUUUCAUUUUUCUAAUGAAUAAACUUUAAUUAACCCCCAAAAAAUUCAGACCUGUGGAGUUUUUGGGAGUUUUUUGCUUUGCAAUCUCCAUAUUGAAUUUGCAUUUGAUUACAAAAGACUAAAACCAAUGCUCUGAUACUACUUCAGCAUCUUUCCUUCUGUCCCAUGGAGAACUGCUUAUCAGAAGUUUACAUUAGCCUUACCUUAUGCGAUGAUUACUAGGCACAGUGCUCAGUUUGCAAAUACAACAGUUUAUUUCCCUUGUCCACUUUGGUUAAUAACCAGAUAUUUCCCUAAAUAUUCAUUUGUCACACCAAUCAUAUCAGGUAGGUGUUCAUCUCAUUCCCUAUUGGAAAUAAAAAUAAAUCCUACAGAUAGGGUACCAUAUGCUCUCUUAAAAUGAUGCCUAAAACACUGACACAACUAAUGAUAACUACUAAUGACUAAAACCACAGGUAAACUAAUGAGGGGCAUGACAUACCAGCUAGACAUGCAACAUAACAGCCAAGUAGCAUCUGCCAAUUUAACAUAAUGGUAUUUUUUUUCUUACAUUAAGUAAUCUAAUAAUACAGAUUAUAAUCUGUGUUUAGGAUGUCAAGUAACACUUAAGUUCAUAUAGACCAUUUUGAUACAGCAGCAGAGAGAGCAAAGGCACUCAAAACACUGAAUAACAUCAGGAGUUGGGGAAUAGAGUGUUUCCCAGCAGAGCUCUGUAAAAAAAAAAAAAAGAGAAAUUUGAUAAAACCAUUCCUAAAUAGUUCUCUUUAUUGCUAUUAUAAAAGCAUUGAAUUUUUCAGAGAAAUAAUUUUGUAUUAGCCCCAUCUAUUAUGUAGACACUUCUAUUGUCAAAAGACCAUGUGCCACACUUAUAUCAACACGUAUUUUUCAGUGAUAGUCAGGGUCAAAAGUAUAAAGCACCUAUGUGGUCCCACUUUUCUUCCUUUUUGUCAAGACUAUUUCAUUUAUUAUGUUGCACAUGUGUUCUCAAACAUUUAUUCAGAUGUAGGAAAUCUGACAGAUUUCAGUUUUCUGUGACAUUUAUAGGAAGAAACCAGUAGAAACUACAGAGGAAAAGUUCUUACCACUUGACUGCCGCCUGAGUAGGGUGAUUGCUGAAAACAAACCAAGAAAUAAAUUUAUAGAGCAUCUCCCAGCCAAUGGUUUUGAACAGUUUCUUCCUGUGAUCAACAAGAUUUUAAUAGCUUAACCCACAGCAUAGUCUUAAGUUGUUCAAGAGGAAGGCUGAACUAAUAUUAAUAUAGAUUUUUCUCUUCAGACCAAGUCAUCCCAAAAUUUCUCUAUCCACCAGCCAGGUUCUUUCUUUACUGACAAAAGAAGAUUAAAGUGCUGUGAUGAAAGUAUUCUUACCGGUUUCCCAGAGUAAGUGCUUCCUGAGCCAGAGCCACCCUGUGAAACAAUUAUGAACCAUUUAAUUUUGUCAUAUAAGGCUGCAUGAAUAGUGUCCAAAGAGCACACAGCAAUCUUGAAAAUGCCCUGGAUAUUAGUGGGUCUGAUAAUGAUUUUGAUUUUACCAUUUUCACUGCACUUUUCCCCCCUAUUUUAAUUGAAUGGUCUCAAACAAGCACGGCUAUGUCCAUUUCAUUGCAUGAACAGUUUCAGAGGAAUGGAUCAAAGCAAUGUGUCUUGUCUGAGCUACAGAGUUGGAAACUGAAACAAUUGCCCUGAUAUUUAAAUACAUCAUUCUUAUUAGAAUGACCCAGGAAUGUUCCUAUGAGUAAGUAACAGGGUAUAUCAAAACUUUGCUAUGGAGGAAUAAAUGCUGCCUCAUCCUAAGGUUCAAGCUUGAGCAAAAUAUUCCAAUUUUUAUUGGUAAUUUUUCUCAUACAUUUACCAUUGUAACAUAAUUUAAAAUUUCACCCUCAUUGCUGUUACCUAUCUUAAAACCCAAUAUCCCCAUGUCUAAUUUGGUUGCAGAAUACUGAAAGAAUAUCCUUACUGGCUUUCCUUGAUGACUGCCUCCUGAGGAAGAGGAACCCUGAAAAAAGAUACCUGUUUUUCACUCUAAAUCUAUUUGUGCUUAAAUAGUCUUGCUAUAUGUAAUUAAAGACCACAGAAGAAUGAAAACUUUUGUAUCCAGUCAUCCAAAAAUCCCAGGUAGAACCUUAUCUGAAAUACAUGUGUUUAACAUUUUCUGUUAUGUGUGUUCUUUCAAAUGUUGUAUUGGACAAUUUAAUACAAAAUUCUGAAGAAAAAAGAACUGGUUUAUAGUUGUGUUUAAUAUAUGGAAUAGAAAAAAUAAUAAGGUCCAAUUAAACCAUAAUUCUCCUGGUAUCAGUCUAUGGUUACAUUGGGAGAAAAAAAGACAGCACCAGCAAAAAAAGGCAAAUUAUAAAAGUCCUUUACUCUAUAGCCCCUACUUAAAGAAAACUCUAAAAAUAAAGAUAGUUGAAAAUAAAAGUAGGUACAGAAAAAUUAGAUGUUCUGAAAGCAUCUUAUUCAGUUUUCUGGUGAAGUGGCUCUGCUUAUUUGAAUGACAUUGCCAACAGGAAAUGUUACAAUCAUUAAGUCUUUAAGAAAUGCCAUCAAAUACGUACAGAAAAUGUCUCACCUUCAGGAUUCAUGUAUUAGAAAAUGUAACAUUUAUGAUCACUUUUUAAUAACAAGUACAUCUUUUCUAUAAGAUCUUUUCUAUAAACAUUUUUAUCAACUCUCACUGAAUGGCAAGAGUGAAGUCAAAAUUACGUAGUAAAAAGUAAAAAAGUCUGAAAUUAUAGAAGAUGAAAAUAUGCAUAGUUAAAUGGCAACUAUUAUUUCCUUUGAAAAGGAAAAUUGUUUUCUUCAAAGCAAGACAGAAAUACUUAAGACAAAUGCAUACAAAAUCAAUGAAAAGCUGAGCUCUGAGCAGAAAGUGUAUUAUUAUUAUAAAUAUAAAGAUAAAUAGCUGUUCAGAAGUUCCUUAUACACACACAAAUCAUUCUGUGAUUACUAGAAGUUCAGCUACGCAGUAAUGUGCUGUCUCAAAACUGUUGUGAAAAUAUUGUAUUUGCCUUUGUUGAAAGUAUCGCAGGUAAGUAAAUCAUGUGCCACUCUUUGCAUGUUAAAGUAAAACUCCAACUGUCUAAUCCAUAACUAACUUGGUAUUAGGGUUUUUUAGCAGGUGUAUAAGAAAAGAGAAAGGUAAAUGUGAAUGUUUUGUACUUACUGGUUUACCCUGUUUGCCUCCAGAAGGAUAUGAGCCCUGUAAGAAGUCAAUCAGACUUGUAUUAAUUGAAUGUAAAAUCUUCUAUCACUGUCUUCAGACAAUUUUUGCAGUACUUAGGACAAGCUUAUUUGGGUGUUCUUUGAACAAAAAAAACGCUUAAAAUUUACACUGUGUACUACAAACCACAACAAUGGCAAUUUGAAUCAAGAAAGCGGUGUUAAGAAAUACAGCCUGGCAACUAGAAUAUGUUCAAAGGAAUAUUUUACACAGAGCAGUAACUCAUUGUAACCAAAUCUUUUAUUCACCUUACUGAAGCGACUUUGAUCCAUAUUACCUGCACUGUUUAAACUUAAUAAAAUGUCCAAAUUAAUGUAUCUGUCAGCAUCAAGUAACUGACCUACAAAGCAUGUUAGGAGUGAGUUUGAAGUGAUGGGAUGGAAAGAUAACACUCACCUGCCCACCAUAUUGGCUGCCUCUUGAGGGAUAAGAUCCCUAUUAAGAAAAAAAAAAUCAGGGAAAAUUAACAGCAGAUACUUUUUGUUUUUCUGUGCAAAAUGAAACAUCACAGGGCUUUUGACAGGAGAUCUCAGUCAUAAUCUGGAAAGUAUAUUAAUCUAAAAAGAUGCAGUGAAAGACUUCUGAUCUAAUACCUCUAAGUUCCUCAACAGGUGAAAGUAGUAAAUUGGGCAGUCACAAAACACCUUCUGAGACUGUUCUGUUCCAUAAAUAAAUGGAUUAAAAGUGUCUUACAUAUGUCUCUAUUCAAGAGGAAAGAACCAAUUGACUUUAUUUGUGAUUUUCUACAUCAGACAUGUUUAGAGAGCACCAUGUGUAUUAUUGUUAAAAUAUUGUUAAUAUUACCAAAUAGGUAGUUUGGGGAAAAAAAAAAAAAGAUUUGCUGCCGUUAAGAAUCCUCUUCAUUCUACAUGAGAUUAUCUUUUAACAGAGUGAUACUGAAAACCAAUGCUUGCCAGCAAAGUAAAAAGCAAUUAAUUUUUUUAGUAUGGUAGAGUGAGACAUUGCAAAUACAGUAAUACUAAUGGAAACUAAGCUCCAUCUUUUGAGCUAGUCAUGCAUUUCAUGUCAGCUAUUUGCACUAGUAACCUUUCUGAAUUGGUGCCAAACAGUCUGCAUAAGGUAUAUGCUUAACAGGAAGAGUCUUGAGGUGACUCUAAAGAGGAAAGUAGUGUUAUUGUGUGCAACACACUGGAAUUUAUAUAUUUUUAAGCAGCAUCUAUUGGUUUAUUCUGUACCAAGUUUUCCAAGUAUGUAGUGUAAAUAUUAAAGUAAUCACUUGAAAUAAGAGGCAUUCUGAGGUGAAACAACUAAAAUUAUGAUCAAUGAAAUUUCUUUACAUGGAAAUUUUUUCAUGCUACUCCAUUUUGAGUAGAUUCCAGCUACUGACAGUCCCUGUUUUCAAAUAUUUAUUAGGAGUAAAAUGACCCUAAAAAAACUGUCAGUAUAUGUAUUGCAUGUUAUUUUUUCAGCUGACAAAUUGCAAAUAGAAGAUCUUGAAAACAAAGAAAAUUUGCUUGCCUGUCCACCACCAUACUGACUGCUUCCAGGAUAUGAACCCUAUAAAAAGAAUGCAAUACAUAUAUAUAUAUUUUUGUUGUUUUUUUUUUUUUAAUAGCAACAAAUUUUUAAAUGGCAAAAAAAGAUCCUGGACUUAAUGUAAUAUAAACAGUACUCAUGACACUGAUUAACUGGAAUAACUUGACACAGUUACUAAUGCAGUGGAAAAUGACUAAUUAUCCACACAUCAUCUUGGUGGUUUAUGCAGUGAGAUGAAGCCUAUGAAUAAUUCUUCAGUAAUUUCUUAAGGUAAGAAAGCUUCCAUAACUAAAAAGUAAAACCUUGGCUCUUGUAUAUGGAAGGAUAUAAUUGAAAUGCCAAGAGUGAUUGAAUAAAAGUCCCAUGCACUCUCUAGAAUUAUUGUACCUAUGUCUCUGACUAAACUGAACUUAAUAUUUAAUGGCUGCUGGCAAAUAUGACAACUGAACCAUGUUUAUUCCUGAGAAACUAAUCUGUGUAAAUGUUAGAGACAAACUGCCUACCUGUCCACCAUGGUAGUUGGUUCCUGCAAAAGAGCCCUGCAUUCAACAGAAACAGCAAUGUUUACUCUGCAUUAACUUCAGUGUCACACAGAGGAAAUCCAAGAGAACACACUGACUUAUUGCAAUGAUCAAGUAAUUUACGCUGCUUACUAUUAUUCUGAUUCAUCUUGAAUUCUAUGUCAAGGAAUAUAUAUGUAUAUAUAUAGUGUGUAUAUAAGUGAGUAUUAUUAUUGUAUAAUUUCUAUUUAUAUAAAUUCUAAUUUAUAUGUUGUUUUCAACACUUGAUUCUCAGAAUUGGCGUAUAUACCAUGGAUUAUACACUUGGGAUGUAAUUUUUCUUGAUUAUGCAGACCAAUAAAGAGAAGUAGUGAUCCAA
Molecule: long non-coding RNA, 6396 nt
Organism: Lonchura striata (white-rumped munia)
Lineage: Eukaryota; Metazoa; Chordata; Aves; Passeriformes; Estrildidae
Source: RefSeq, a predicted model, not a curated record